GCAUGGCGUCUCUGAACGUGACCGGCAGCGGACAGAGCAGAGCAGAACAGAGUAGGGCGGUGCGGAGCGGAGGACAAACAAAUUCAGAAAAACGAGUGAAAAUAUGAAGUAAAACCAACGUCUGGAUCGUCGCUUCGUCGCGUUGGUUUGUUAGAACGUGGAGAAACUUCAUUACUGUACGAGCCACGGUGUUAAAAACAAGCGUUGGAGCCGAGCACAGGUCUACUUGCAGCUGCUGCAUCCUGGAUGAAGACACCAACAUCACCUCACAGACCAUACAGGUGUCACCACUUCGUCCACGACAUCGUCCACAAUUGAUGAGACGUCGUCCAUGAUCGGAGAGACAUUGUUGAGGAUGAGGGAGACAUCGUCCACGAUCAGAGACAUUGUCCAUGACUCGUGGUGACUCGGUCCCCGAUAAGUCGGCAUUGCCGGCGUUCAUGGAGACAUUGUCAAUGAUCGCAGAGACUUUGUCUAUAAUCUCAGAAACAUUGUCCGCGAUCACAGAGACGUCGUCCAUGAUCACAGAGACAUGGUCUACGAUCGGAGAGACAUUGUUGAGGAUGAGGGAGACAUCGUCCACGUUCAGAGACGUUGUCCAUGAUCGCAGAGACCUUGUCAAAGAUGAAAGAGACGUUGUCCAUGGUCAGAGACAUUGUCGCUGCUUCGCAGAGCUCUGCGCAAGAAUCGGUAGUGACACUGUGGUUCCUCGAUUCGACGGCAUGACCGCGAUCAG
Long non-coding RNA from Lates calcarifer (barramundi perch), 736 nucleotides. RefSeq lists it as uncharacterized. NCBI's taxonomy places the organism in Eukaryota, Metazoa, Chordata, Actinopteri, Centropomidae. The record is from RefSeq and is a predicted model, not a curated record. The transcript is spliced from 3 exons.